UACAGGGGGGGCAAGCGUUGUUCGGAAUUACUGGGCGUAAAGGGCUCGUAGGUGGCCAACUAAGUCAGACGUGAAAUCCCUCAGCUUAACUGGGGAACUGCGUCUGAUACUGGAUGGCUUGAGUUUGGGAGAGGGAUGCGGAAUUCCAGGUGUAGCGGUGAAAUGCGUAGAUAUCUGGAGGAACACCGGUGGCGAAGGCGGCAUCCUGGACCAACACUGACACUGAGGAGCGAAAGCCAGGGGAGCAAGCGGG
RNAcentral lists this ribosomal RNA (253 nucleotides) under uncultured bacterium. RNAcentral's name for it is "partial 16S ribosomal RNA". It matches the Rfam family "Bacterial small subunit ribosomal RNA", at positions 524 to 776 of the family's 1533-position model. The record is from RNAcentral.